Molecule: unclassified non-coding RNA, 263 nt
Filed under: plant metagenome
Description: partial contains small subunit ribosomal RNA, internal transcribed spacer 1, and 5.8S ribosomal RNA
Source: RNAcentral
UUUCCGUAGGUGAACCUGCGGAAGGAUCAUUAUUGUAUAACCGAGGUGCGAGGGCUGUCGCUGACCCGAAAGGUCGUGCACGCCCAAGUGCCCUCACACACAUCCAUCUCACCCCUAUGUGCACCACCGCGUGGGUCCCCCUUUGGCUUGUUCGGAGGGGGGCUUACGUUUUCACACAAACUUUGUAUGCAGUGUAGAAUGUAUUUUUUGUUUUUGCGAUCACGCAAUCAAUACAACUUUCAACAACGGAUCUCUUGGUUCUG